AUGCAGUCGAGGGGCAGCAUUUUAGUUUGCUUGCAAACUAAAGAUGGCGACCGGCGCACGGGUGAGUAACACGUAUCCAACCUGCCGAUAACUCGGGGAUAGCCUUUCGAAAGAAAGAUUAAUAUCCGAUGGUAUAUUAAAACCGCAUGGUUUUACUAUUAAAGAAUUUCGGUUAUCGAUGGGGAUGCGUUCCAUUAGUUUGUUGGCGGGGUAACGGCCCACCAAGACUACGAUGGAUAGGGGUUCUGAGAGGAAGGUCCCCCACAUUGGAACUGAGACACGGUCCAAACUCAUACGGGAGGCAGCAGUGAGGAAUAUUGGUCAAUGGACGAGAGUCUGAACCAGCCAAGUAGCGUGAAGGAUGACUGCCCUAUGGGUUGUAAACUUCUUUUAUAUGGGAAUAAAGUAUUCCACGUGUGGGAUUUUGUAUGUACCAUAUGAAUAAGGAUCGGCUAACUCCGUGCCAGCAGCCGCGGUAAUACGGAGGAUCCGAGCGUUAUCCGGAUUUAUUGGGUUUAAAGGGAGCGUAGGUGGAUUGUUAAGUCAGUUGUGAAAGUUUGCGGCUCAACCGUAAAAUUGCAGUUGAAACUGGCAGUCUUGAGUACAGUAGAGGUGGGCGGAAUUCGUGGUGUAGCGGUGAAAUGCUUAGAUAUCACGAAGAACUCCGAUUGCGAAGGCAGCUCACUAGACUGCAACUGACACUGAUGCUCGAAAGUGUGGGUAUCAAACAGGAUUAGAUACCCUGGUAGUCCACACAGUAAACGAUGAAUACUCGCUGUUUGCGAUAUACAGUAAGCGGCCAAGCGAAAGCAUUAAGUAUUCCACCUGGGGAGUACGCCG
This 840-nucleotide ribosomal RNA is filed under the name Bacteroides sp. HGA0130. RNAcentral describes it as "bacterial SSU rRNA". It matches the Rfam family "Bacterial small subunit ribosomal RNA", at positions 55 to 887 of the family's 1533-position model. The record is from RNAcentral. Lineage: Bacteria; Pseudomonadati; Bacteroidota; Bacteroidia; Bacteroidales; Bacteroidaceae.